GACAUGUGGAGCUUCUAGAAGUGAGAAUGCCGGUAUGAGUAACGAAAGACAGGUGAGAAUCCUGUCCGCCGCAAGACUAAGGUUUCCUGGGGCAGGCUCGUCCGCCCAGGGUAAGUCGGGACCUAAGGCGAGGCCGAGAGGCGUAGUCGAUGGACAACAGGUUGAAAUUCCUGUACUGCACCGAAUCGUUAUGAGCGAUGGAGGGACGCAGGAGGCUAGCAGCGCGUGGUGCUGGAUACCACGUUCAAGCGUCAAGUCUGAGAGCGAGUCAAAUGCUUGCUCUCAUAAGGACAAGGCGUGAUGAGGAGCGAAAUUAAAGUAGCGAAGGCUGCGACGUCACACUGCCGAGAAAAGCUUCUAGCCAGAGACGGUGCACCCGUACCGCAAACCGACACAGGUAGUCGAGGAGAGUAUCCUCAGGUGAGCGAGAGAACUCUCGUUAAGGAACUCGGCAAAAUGGCCCCGUAACUUCGGGAGAAGGGGCGCUGGUCGCAAGAUCAGCCGCAGUGAAAAGGCCCAAGCAACUGUUUAUCAAAAACACAGGCAUCUGCAAAAUCGUAAGAUGAAGUAUAGGUGCUGACACCUGCCCGGUGCUGGAAGGUUAAGAGGAGAGCUUAGCGCAAGCGAAGGUUUGAAUUGAAGCCCCAGUAAACGGCGGCCGUAACUAUAACGGUCCUAAGGUAGCGAAAUUCCUUGUCGGGUAAGUUCCGACCUGCACGAAAGGUGUAAUGAUUUGGGCACUGUCUCAACGAGAGACUCGGUGAAAUUAUAAUACCCGUGAAGAUGCGGGUUACCCGCGACAGGACGGAAAGACCCCAUGGAGCUUUACUGCAGUUUAAUAUUGGGUAUCUGUCAAGCAUGUACAGGAUAGGUAGGAGCCGGAGAAGAUAGGACGCCAGUCUUAUCAGAGGCGCUGUUGGGAUACUACCCUUGCUUGACGGAUGCUCUAACUCAGGCCUGUGAUCCAGGCCGAGGACAGUGUUUGACGGGCAGUUUGACUGGGGCGGUCGCCUCCUAAAGUGUAACGGAGGCGCCCAAAGGUUCCCUCAGAAUGGUUGGAAAUCAUUCGCAGAGUGUAAAGGUAAAAGGGAGCUUGACUGCGAGAGAGACAACUCGAGCAGGUACGAAAGUAGGGCUUAGUGAUCUGGUGGUACCGUAUGGAAGGGCCAUCACUCAACGGAUAAAAGCUACCCUGGGGAUAACAGGCUUAUCUCCCCCAAGAGUUCACAUCGACGGGGAGGUUUGGCACCUCGAUGUCGGCUCGUCGCAUCCUGGGGCUGAAGUCGGUCCCAAGGGUUGGGCUGUUCGCCCAUUAAAGCGGCACGCGAGCUGGGUUCAGAACGUCGUGAGACAGUUCGGUCCCUAUCCGUCGUGGGCGUAGGAAAUUUGAGAGGAGCUGUCCUUAGUACGAGAGGACCGGGAUGGACGCACCGCUGGUGUACCAGUUGUCUUGCCAAAGGCAUCGCUGGGUAGCUAUGUGCGGACGGGAUAAGCGCUGAAAGCAUCUAAGUGCGAAGCCCCCCUCAAGAUGAGAUUUCCCAUUUCUUCAAGAAAGUAAGACACCUCAGAGACGAUGAGGUAGAUAGGCCGGGAGUGGAAGAGCCGUGAGGCUUGGAGCGGACCGGUACUAAUCAGUCGAGGACUUGACCAAAA
RNAcentral lists this ribosomal RNA (1653 nucleotides) under Lactobacillus delbrueckii subsp. bulgaricus. RNAcentral's name for it is "partial 23S ribosomal RNA". It matches the Rfam family "Bacterial large subunit ribosomal RNA", at positions 1268 to 2925 of the family's 2925-position model. The record is from RNAcentral. Lineage: Bacteria; Bacillati; Bacillota; Bacilli; Lactobacillales; Lactobacillaceae.